GACGAACGCUGGCGGCGUGCUUAACACAUGCAAGUCGAACGCUGAACCCGCUUCGGUGGGGGAUGAGUGGCGAACGGGUGAGUAACACGUGGGCAACCUGCCCCCGGCUCUGGGAUAACCCCAAGAAAUUGGGGCUAAUACCGGAUGUGACCGCUGGCCGCAUGGUCUGGUGGUGGAAAGGGUUUCCGGCUGGGGAUGGGCCCGCGGCCUAUCAGCUUGUUGGUGGGGUAGUGGCCUACCAAGGCGACGACGGGUAGCCGGCCUGAGAGGGUGACCGGCCACACUGGGACUGAGACACGGCCCAGACUCCUACGGGAGGCAGCAGUGGGGAAUAUUGCGCAAUGGGCGGAAGCCUGACGCAGCGACGCCGCGUGGGGGAUGACGGCCUUCGGGUUGUAAACCUCUUUCAGCAGGGACGAAGCGCAAGUGACGGUACCUGCAGAAGAAGCACCGGCCAACUACGUG
RNAcentral lists this ribosomal RNA (465 nucleotides) under uncultured bacterium. RNAcentral's name for it is "partial 16S ribosomal RNA". It matches the Rfam family "Bacterial small subunit ribosomal RNA", at positions 28 to 507 of the family's 1533-position model. The record is from RNAcentral.